UCCGUCAUAGUAUAGUGGCUAGUAUCCCCGCCUGUCACGCGGGAGACCGGGGUUCGAUUCCCCGUGACGGAG
Fragilariopsis cylindrus CCMP1102 is the source of this 72-nucleotide transfer RNA. It matches the Rfam family "tRNA". From Rfam's summary of the family: Transfer RNA (tRNA) molecules are approximately 80 nucleotides in length. Their secondary structure includes four short double-helical elements and three loops (D, anti-codon, and T loops). Further hydrogen bonds mediate the characteristic L-shaped molecular structure. tRNAs have two regions of fundamental functional importance: the anti-codon, which is responsible for specific mRNA codon recognition, and the 3' end, to which the tRNAs corresponding amino acid is attached (by aminoacyl-tRNA synthetases). tRNAs cope with the degeneracy of the genetic code in two manners: having more than one tRNA (with a specific anti-codon) for a particular amino acid; and 'wobble' base-pairing, i.e. permitting non-standard base-pairing at the 3rd anti-codon position. The record is from Rfam. Lineage: Eukaryota; Bacillariophyta; Bacillariophyceae; Bacillariales; Bacillariaceae.